RNAcentral lists this non-coding RNA (27 nucleotides) under Mus musculus (house mouse). The record is from RNAcentral. Lineage: Eukaryota; Metazoa; Chordata; Mammalia; Rodentia; Muridae.
UAAACCUCUUUCACGUGGCACCGCCUU